RNAcentral lists this long non-coding RNA (1057 nucleotides) under Marmota monax (woodchuck). The record is from RNAcentral. Lineage: Eukaryota; Metazoa; Chordata; Mammalia; Rodentia; Sciuridae.
GCAAAUAUCUCAGUCCUCCUCAAAUAUGUUACUCAUUUAUUUAUGUCUUUAUAGACUUAUGGUCUACUAUUGUAUUUAAUGAAUUAACAUCCACUAUCAUCAGUAUUUAUUUUAAUGCUCAAAUUGUUGCUGUAAGAACCACUUAGAUUGCUUCUAUAUAAUCUUUUGAUAUGUCUUCAUUAUUCUUUGAACAUUUUCAGACUUUCUGGAACAACAAAACUUCCUAGGAUCAUUUUAUACUUUCUCCACUCCAUCCUAGAAUGGAUCGUUUCUCUAAGGAGUCCUAUUUCCUUUUAGAGAGAGUAGUGUUUAGAAGCUGAGGUUUGGGUGUUAAAUGUGCUUAUUGCUAUUGGAGUGUCAAUGCUCCGGUACUGCUUGGAGGACCGAAACUAAGGAGUGUGAUAAUAUGUACUUUUACAUUCGUGUAUUUGUUUUUAUGAAUACCUAUGUUGAAAUCCAAGAAUUAAUACUGAUUUCUCUGCUUUCAACCCAACACCAUUGACUUCAUUCUAUUUUUUUCUCCACUUGUUGCCUCUUUCUCCAACAGUGAGAAACGCAGCUCCAUUGGCACAGGCUAUGCAUUUUUAUUUCACCAUUCCCACCCACUGUAUGUAAUCAAGUUUCCAUUGCCUCUCCAUUCCUGCUCUGCUUGGAUGAUCUCUCAUGCUGCUUGAGAUCUGAUUCCCGGUGCUGGACCACUUUCUAGGUUCUGAAGUUCUUUUCUAGGUAGCCUCCUCACAGGGAUGUAAAAAGUCAUGUCUCUCAGUUUCUGACCACCUGAGCUGGGCCAUUCAGCUUCCCCAUGUCCCCAGUGCUGCUGGUGUGUUUACUUACUGACUUGCUUUUUGGGAUUAUGAUUAAGUAGGUUAGGAAGGAAGGGGAGGGAGUGGGAACAACAACCUAUUAGAUUUAAAAAUCAAAUGCCAAACUUCAAAAAUAUUUAUGUAUGAUAUAUGUUUACCAGAUGACAUAUGCAAUUUAUGAGUAAUAUAAAAAUGUGUAUACACAUACACACACAUAUAAAAUAUAUUCUUGUGCUUGGAAUGAAAGGCUGGGC